Molecule: long non-coding RNA, 237 nt
Filed under: Elaeis guineensis (African oil palm)
Lineage: Eukaryota; Viridiplantae; Streptophyta; Magnoliopsida; Arecales; Arecaceae
Description: long non-coding RNA (EGUI_LNC052417)
Source: RNAcentral
GAUCGACUCUAAUACCAUCUGUGAUAAUACAGAACUUCAUCUAAAAUGAUCGAUCAAAAUAUAUUAUUUAUAUUUUUAUAUAAUUAUUUAUUUUUUUUGAUAACUAAUCAAUAUUAAAUAUAUGCCCAUGCAGUUCCUGGAACACCGGACUCUACUGUUAAUUCAACUAAUUUAUCAGCUUGAAUAAAUUCAACUAAUUCAACGAAACAAUGGAAUAAUGCAACCAAGUAAUACAGG